Molecule: ribosomal RNA, 831 nt
Filed under: Pseudomonas aeruginosa
Lineage: Bacteria; Pseudomonadati; Pseudomonadota; Gammaproteobacteria; Pseudomonadales; Pseudomonadaceae
Description: bacterial SSU rRNA
Rfam family: Bacterial small subunit ribosomal RNA
Source: RNAcentral
GGGUGAGUAAUGCCUAGGAAUCUGCCUGGUAGUGGGGGAUAACGUCCGGAAACGGGCGCUAAUACCGCAUACGUCCUGAGGGAGAAAGUGGGGGAUCUUCGGACCUCACGCUAUCAGAUGAGCCUAGGUCGGAUUAGCUAGUUGGUGGGGUAAAGGCCUACCAAGGCGACGAUCCGUAACUGGUCUGAGAGGAUGAUCAGUCACACUGGAACUGAGACACGGUCCAGACUCCUACGGGAGGCAGCAGUGGAAUAUUGGACAAUGGGCGAAAGCCUGAUCCAGCCAUGCCGCGUGUGUGAAGAAGGUCUUCGGAUUGUAAAGCACUUUAAGUUGGGAGGAAGGGCAGUAGUUAAUACCUUGCUGUUUUGACGUUACCAACAGAAUAAGCACCGGCUAACUUCGUGCCAGCAGCCGCGGUAAUACGAAGGGUGCAAGCGUUAAUCGGAAUUACUGGGCGUAAAGCGCGCGUAGGUGGUUCAGCAAGUUGGAUGUGAAAUCCCGGGCUCAACCUGGGAACUGCAUCCAAAACUACUGAGCUAGAGUACGGUAGAGGGUGGUGGAAUUUCCUGUGUAGCGGUGAAAUGCGUAGAUAUAGGAAGGAACACCAGUGGCGAAGGCGACCACCUGGACUGAUACUGACACUGAGGUGCGAAAGCGUGGGGAGCAAACAGGAUUAGAUACCCUGGUAGUCCACGCCGUAAACGAUGUCGACUAGCCGUUGGGAUCCUUGAGAUCUUAGUGGCGCAGCUAACGCGAUAAGUCGACCGCCUGGGGGAGUACGGCCGCAAGGUUAAAACUCAAAUGAAUUGACGGGGGCCCGCACAAGCGGUG